GACGCUGGCGGUAGGCUUAACACAUGCAAGUCGUGCGAGAAAGUAUCUUCGGAUAUGAGUAGAGCGGCGGACGGGUGAGUAACGCGUAGGAAUCUACCUAGUAGAAGGGGAUAGCCCGGGGAAACCCGGAUUAAUACCGUAUACCUCCUUCGGGAGAAAGAAGGCCUCUCUUUGAAGCUUUCGCUACUAGAUGAGCCUGCGUAAGAUUAGCUUGUUGGUGAGGUAAAGGCUCACCAAGGCGACGAUCUUUAGCUGGUCUGAGAGGACGAUCAGCCACAUUGGGACUGAGACACGGCCCAGACUCCUACGGGAGGCAGCAGUGGGGAAUAUUGGACAAUGGGCGCAAGCCUGAUCCAGCCAUACCGCGUGUGUGAAGAAGGCCUUCGGGUUGUAAAGCACUUUAAGCAGGGAGAAAAAGUUAUAAGUUAAUACCUUAUAACCCUGAUGUUACCUGCAGAAUAAGCACCGGCUAAUUCCGUGCCAGCAGCCGCGGUAAUACGGAAGGUGCAAGCGUUAAUCGGAAUUACUGGGCGUAAAGCGCGCGUAGGUGGUUUGUUAAGUUGGAUGUGAAAGCCCUGGGCUUAACCUAGGAACUGCAUCCAAAACUAACUCACUAGAGUACGAUAGAGGGAGGUAGAAUUCAUAGUGUAGCGGUGGAAUGCGUAGAUAUUAUGAAGAAUACCAGUGGCGAAGGCGGCCUCCUGGAUCUGUACUGACACUGAGGUGCGAAAGCGUGGGUAGCGAACAGGAUUAGAUACCCUGGUAGUCCACGCCGUAAACGAUGACAACUAGCCGUUGGGAGACAAUGUCUUUCAGUGGCGCAGCUAACGCUUUAAGUUGUCCGCCU
RNAcentral lists this ribosomal RNA (847 nucleotides) under uncultured bacterium. RNAcentral's name for it is "bacterial SSU rRNA". It matches the Rfam family "Bacterial small subunit ribosomal RNA", at positions 32 to 874 of the family's 1533-position model. The record is from RNAcentral.